ACGGAGGAUUCAAGCGUUAUCCGGAAUCAUUGGGUUUAAAGGGUCCGUAGGCGGCUUUAUAAGUCAGUGGUGAAAGCCCAUCGCUUAACGAUGGAACGGCCAUUGAUACUGUAGAGCUUGAAUUACUUGGAAGUAACUAGAAUAUGUAGUGUAGCGGUGAAAUGCUUAGAUAUUACAUGGAAUACCAAUUGCGAAGGCAGGUUACUACAAGUGGAUUGACGCUGAUGGACGAAAGCGUGGGGAGCGAACAGGA
This 253-nucleotide ribosomal RNA is filed under the name uncultured prokaryote. Its description in RNAcentral is "partial 16S ribosomal RNA". It matches the Rfam family "Bacterial small subunit ribosomal RNA", at positions 525 to 777 of the family's 1533-position model. The record is from RNAcentral.